AUGAAGCGUAGAAACUGGGUUGGCAACCCUCGAUGUUCCUUUUGUGAUUGUAGAGAAACAUAUCUACAUUUGUUCUUUCGUUGCCCUGUGGCAAGGAUAACUUGGCGCACAGUUGGGGCACUGCUUGGUACAGAUUUAUGUCCCAAUAAUUUGUGUCAAUUUUACUCUUGGUGUUAUGCUUUCCUCCCUCAGAGGGAGCGAUGUUUCACAAUGGGCCUAGCGGCUGUUUGCUGGGCUAUUUGGAAUCAAAGAAACCAAGCUACUUUUGAAUUUAAAAACAUUUCAUCUCCUUUUGAGAUUGUUUUCACAGCCUGUGUGCAUUUAUCUUAUUGGGCAGGUCUCCUAAAAGGCGAAGGGGGAAUGGAGCUAGAGCGUGGCGCGAUGUUGCUCAGGGAGAAUGUCAAGGAGAUGAUGAGACUCUGUGAGACCGCGUAUGUUGGUAACACUAUGGAGUGA
This 456-nucleotide ribosomal RNA is filed under the name Triticum aestivum (bread wheat). RNAcentral describes it as "partial small subunit ribosomal RNA". Lineage: Eukaryota; Viridiplantae; Streptophyta; Magnoliopsida; Poales; Poaceae. The record is from RNAcentral.